Molecule: long non-coding RNA, 672 nt
Filed under: Helianthus annuus (common sunflower)
Lineage: Eukaryota; Viridiplantae; Streptophyta; Magnoliopsida; Asterales; Asteraceae
Source: RNAcentral
AUUAAGAUACCCCACCACCCCGUGGUGAUCAUCUUGGCCCGACUACUCGUCGCCGCUGUUCAGGCCACACAACCACCCAUAGUCGUACCACACACCAGCCAGAUACCACCGUAACCACUUCCAUACUUUGAUUUGUAUUAGCCAUAGUCGUAAAACGCCAUUGCCUAUGGGAAUCUCGCCACCGUACAACCCCGGUUUAAGUCACGACUCGCCGCCAAGAACAGGAGACUUUCGUCGCUACGGUUUGAAUACCGCAGACAACCCGACAACUCCGAGCCACCACGACACCGAUUGACUUUCACUAUCAUAGUCGGGCCCGUUGCCUCACGAUCUUGUAGCACGUAUUCAGUUAACAACGGAAAGGGUGCACAUGAUUUCAUCUAUGAAGCUGCUGCAAAAUUCUAUGUUGAAAUAGCAACUGAUCAACACAGAUGUUGUGUAUUACAAAGAUGCAUCAAUCACUCGACUGGCGAGUACCAUGAAAAAUUAAUCUCGGAGAUAUCAAAAACUCGCAUCCUUCUUGCAGAAGAUGCAUACGGGUAAGUGUUGAGGAAAAAUACGCAAAUGGGUGGUAGAAUGACAUGUCAAAAGGGUAGUAUUGUUGACGAAACUAUAGAAAACGCCUUUUGUAGAAAAAAUUUAUAAAUAAGAAGUGGGUUACAUACGAUUACA